This 391-nucleotide unclassified non-coding RNA is filed under the name soil metagenome. Its description in RNAcentral is "partial contains 5.8S ribosomal RNA, internal transcribed spacer 2, and large subunit ribosomal RNA". The stretch from base 1 to 122 matches the Rfam family "5.8S ribosomal RNA", at positions 35 to 154 of the family's 154-position model. The record is from RNAcentral.
GAUGAAGAACGUAGCGAAAUGCGUUACUUGGUGUGAAUUGCAGAAUCCCGUGAACCAUCGAGUCUUUGAACGCAAGUUGCGCCCGAAGCCAUUAGGCCGAGGGCACGCCUGCCUGGGCGUCACACGUCGUUGCCCCCCCAUCUAAUCCUUCGGGAUUGCGGGGGGCGGAUGAUGGCCUCCCGUGCGCCUCGUCGCGCGGUUGGCAUAAAUGCCAAGUCCUCGGCGACGCACGCCACGACAAUCGGUGGUUGCGAAACCUCGGUUGCCCGUUGUGUGCGGUCGUCGCGCAUCGAGGGCUCGAAAAAAUUGCCGGGCUCCGGCUCGACUUUCAACGCGACCCCAGGUCAGGCGGGGUUACCCGCUGAAUUUAAGCAUAUCAAUAAGCGGAGGA